CAGCCGCCGCGGGAAAACGAAGGGGGCUAGCGUUGUUCGGAAUUACUGGGCGUAAAGGGCGCGUAGGCGGCCAUUCAAGUUAGAUGUGAAAGCCCUGGGCUCAACCUAGGAAUUGCAUUUGAUACUGUUUGGCUUGAGUUCGGGAGAGGUGAGUGGAAUUCCCAGCGUAGAGGUGAAAUUCGUAGAUAUUGGGAAGAACACCAGUGGCGAAGGCGGCUCACUGGACCGACACUGACGCUGAGGCGCGAAAGCGUGGGGAGCAAACAGGAUUAGAUACCCUGUAGUCCCUGUCUCUUAUACC
RNAcentral lists this ribosomal RNA (301 nucleotides) under uncultured bacterium. RNAcentral describes it as "partial 16S ribosomal RNA". It matches the Rfam family "Bacterial small subunit ribosomal RNA", at positions 509 to 808 of the family's 1533-position model. The record is from RNAcentral.